CACUCCUGCGGGAGGCAGCAGUGGGGAAUAUUGGACAAUGGGCGCAAGCCUGAUCCAGCCAUGCCGCGUGAGUGAUGAAGGCCCUAGGGUUGUAAAGCUCUUUCACCGGUGAAGAUAAUGACGGUAACCGGAGAAGAAGCCCCGGCUAACUUCGUGCCAGCAGCCGCGGUAAUACGAAGGGGGCUAGCGUUGUUCGGAUUUACUGGGCGUAAAGCGCACGUAGGCGGACUAUUAAGUCAGGGGUGAAAUCCCGGGGCUCAACCCCGGAACUGCCUUUGAUACUGGUAGUCUUGAGUUCGAGAGAGGUGAGUGGAAUUCCGAGUGUAGAGGUGAAAUUCGUAGAUAUUCGGAGGAACACCAGUGGCGAAGGCGGCUCACUGGCUCGAUACUGACGCUGAGGUGCGAAAGCGUGGGGAGCAAACAGGAUUAGAAACCCGUGUAGUCCCA
RNAcentral lists this ribosomal RNA (447 nucleotides) under uncultured organism. RNAcentral's name for it is "partial 16S ribosomal RNA". It matches the Rfam family "Bacterial small subunit ribosomal RNA", at positions 334 to 797 of the family's 1533-position model. The record is from RNAcentral.